AUUGAACUCUGGCGGCAGGCCUAACACAUGCAAGUCGAGCGAGCGGCGGACGGGUGAGUAAUGUAUGGGGAUCUGCCCGAUUGCGGGGGAUAACUACUGGAAACGGUAGCUAAUUCCGCAUACAAUCAGAUGAACCCAUAUGGGAUUAGCUUGUCGGUGAUGUAACGGAUCACCUAGGCGACGAUCCCUAGCUGGUCUGAGCGGAUUAUCAGCAACUCUGCGACUUGGACGCGGCCCAGACUCCGACGGGAGGCAGCAGUUUGAAGUCUUGCACAAUGGGCACAAGCCUGAUGCGGCCAAGCCGCGAGUAGGUAGAGGGCCUUCGGGUUGUAAAGUACUUUCAGCUGUGGGUCGUUACCCGCAGAAGAAGCACCGGCUAACUCCGUGCCAGCAGCCGCGGUAAUAC
Molecule: ribosomal RNA, 406 nt
Filed under: uncultured bacterium
Lineage: Bacteria
Description: partial 16S ribosomal RNA
Rfam family: Bacterial small subunit ribosomal RNA
Source: RNAcentral